Pangasius djambal is the source of this 72-nucleotide non-coding RNA. The record is from the annotation of a GenBank genome assembly. NCBI's taxonomy places the organism in Eukaryota, Metazoa, Chordata, Actinopteri, Siluriformes, Pangasiidae.
UCCCUGGAAGACUAAUGGUUAAGCCACAGCAGUCUUGCCACAGCAGCCCAGGUUCGAUCCUUGGCCAGGGAA